This 597-nucleotide unclassified non-coding RNA is filed under the name Hevea brasiliensis (rubber tree). The record is from RNAcentral. Lineage: Eukaryota; Viridiplantae; Streptophyta; Magnoliopsida; Malpighiales; Euphorbiaceae.
AACUGUGUAUGAAGGUAAUGCAUAGUAGGGUACAGCAACUGGGUAAGGCUCAACCUUGUAAUAAUACUGAUUCCAACUGCAGACAUUACCCGUUUCCUGAAACGUGCUUGGAAACUUGGUGUCACUCGGUUGUCGGUGAGGAGGCAGAGGAUUUUCUGUCUUUACAAUUUCAGGAUUGGAAGAAGAUUUUAAUUUGCUAUCUGCUGCCUCCUUCUGAUCCUUCUUUGGAGCCUUAUUCUCACUUCCAUCCCCACCAUUUUUAACCUCUUUGUUCUUGUCAGUAGAAUUGCCUAAUGAAUUUGAGGAUUUUGCUUGAUCACAUUCAGAUUUUGGUUUCUCUUUCUCUUUUAUCACUGUGUUUUCUGCUUCUUUCUUUUCUUUUCCAGCAUUCUGACUCCCAUUGCUCCACAGUUCUGCUUGUUUUCCAGCUUUCAGCAGUCUUCUUAUUAGAAUUUGUGGAUCCACAUUCCCUAAGACUGUAACUUUGGGUUGUAAAGGAUCUAUUUCAGUCUUUAGAACACCUUCAAUACUCUGUAAAAUCUUCUUAACUUUCCUCUUACAGCCAUCACAGCAGAUGACAGAAACCUUGAGUUCAAU